UGCAGUCGACGGAGAUAAAGACUUCGGUUUUUAUCUUAGUGGCGGAGGGUGAGUAACACGUGAGCAACCUGCCUCUGAGAGAGGGAUAGCUUCUGGAAACGGAUGGUAAUACCUCAUAAUAUAGCGGUACCGCAUGAUACUGCUAUCAAAGAUUUAUCGCUCAGAGAUGGGCUCGCGUCUGAUUAGCUAGAUGGUGAGGUAACGGCUCACCAUGGCGACGAUCAGUAGCCGGACUGAGAGGUUGAACGGCCACAUUGGGACUGAGACACGGCCCAGACUCCUACGGGAGGCAGCAGUGGGGAAUAUUGCACAAUGGGCGCAAGCCUGAUGCAGCGAUGCCGCGUGGAGGAAGAAGGUUUUCGGAUUGUAAACUCCUGUCUUAAGGGACGAUAAUGACGGUACCUUAGGAGGAAGCUCCAGCUAACUACGUGCCAGCAGCCGCGGUAAUACGUAGGGAGCGAGCGUUGUCCGGAAUUACUGGGUGUAAAGGGAGCGUAGGCGGGAUUGCAAGUCAGAUGUGAAACUAUGGGCUUAACCAUAGACUGCAUUUGAAACUGUAGUUCUUGAGUGAAGUA
Molecule: ribosomal RNA, 575 nt
Filed under: uncultured bacterium
Lineage: Bacteria
Description: bacterial SSU rRNA
Rfam family: Bacterial small subunit ribosomal RNA
Source: RNAcentral